This 467-nucleotide ribosomal RNA is filed under the name uncultured bacterium. RNAcentral's name for it is "partial 16S ribosomal RNA". It matches the Rfam family "Bacterial small subunit ribosomal RNA", at positions 28 to 507 of the family's 1533-position model. The record is from RNAcentral.
GACGAACGCUGGCGGCGUGCUUAACACAUGCAAGUCGAACGGAAAGGCCCUGCUUUUGUGGGGUGCUCGAGUGGCGAACGGGUGAGUAACACGUGAGUAACCUGCCCUUGACUUUGGGAUAACUUCAGGAAACUGGGGCUAAUACCGGAUAGGAGCUCCUGCUGCAUGGUGGGGGUUGGAAAGUUUCGGCGGUUGGGGAUGGACUCGCGGCUUAUCAGCUUGUUGGUGGGGUAGUGGCUUACCAAGGCUUUGACGGGUAGCCGGCUGAGAGGGUGACCGGCCACAUUGGGACUGAGAUACGGACCAGACUCCUACGGGAGGCAGCAGUGGGGAAUAUUGCACAAUGGGCGGAAGCCUGAUGCAGCAACGCCGCGUGCGGGAUGACGGCCUUAGGGUUGUAAACCGCUUUCGCCUGUGACGAAGCGUGAGUGACGGUAAUGGGUAAAGAAGCACCGGCUAACUACGUG